GGGAGCUCUGUCCAACCUGGAUAAGAUGGUCUUAGAGCUCGCUGCAGGCUGAGGGUCCUCCUACCAAAUCCUGGCUCUUUCCUUCUCUCCUUUCACAGAUGUCAGAACUGCAGCUCAGCCUGAAGACUCUCUCCAAAAUAUUCCUGCUCCCUCUCCCCACCCCUUUAUCCUUCACAUGGAUUUUCCCCUCCC
This is a non-coding RNA of Ceratotherium simum simum (southern white rhinoceros), 192 nucleotides long. The record is from RefSeq and is a predicted model, not a curated record. Lineage: Eukaryota; Metazoa; Chordata; Mammalia; Perissodactyla; Rhinocerotidae.